GAUGUCGGCUCAUCACAUCCUGGGGCUGAAGUAGGUCCCAAGGGUAUGGCUGUUCGCCAUUUAAAGUGGUACGCGAGCUGGGUUUAGAACGUCGUGAGACAGUUCGGUCCCUAUCUGCCGUGGGCGUUGGAUGAUUGAUUGGGGCUGCUCCUAGUACGAGAGGACCGGAGUGGACGCAUCACUGGUGUUCCAGUUGUCUCGCCAGAGGCAUUGCUGGGUAGCUAAAUGCGGAAGAGAUAAGUGCUGAAAGCAUCUAAGCACGAAACUUGCCAAGAGAUGAGUCAUCCCUGACUUUAAGUCAGUAAGGGUUGUUGUAGACUACGACGUAGAUAGGUCAGGUGUGUAAGUGUAGUGAUACAUUGAGCUAACAGAUACUAAUUGCCCGAGAGGCUUAACUAUACAACGCUCAAG
Molecule: ribosomal RNA, 411 nt
Filed under: Haemophilus influenzae
Lineage: Bacteria; Pseudomonadati; Pseudomonadota; Gammaproteobacteria; Pasteurellales; Pasteurellaceae
Description: bacterial LSU rRNA
Rfam family: Bacterial large subunit ribosomal RNA
Source: RNAcentral